This is a non-coding RNA of Pteropus alecto (black flying fox), 119 nucleotides long. Lineage: Eukaryota; Metazoa; Chordata; Mammalia; Chiroptera; Pteropodidae. The record is from Rfam.
GUCUACAGUCAUGCUACCCUGAACAAGUCCGAUCCCAUCUGAUCUUGGAAGCUAAGCAGGGUCGGCCCUGGUUAGUACUUGGAUGGGAGACCACCUAGGAAGACCAGGUGCUGUAGGUG